UACGAGAGGCCCAAACGUUAUUCGGAAUUACUGGGCUUAAAGAGUUCGUAGGCGGCGCAGAAAGUAGGGUGUGAAAGCCCUCGGCUUAACCGAGGAAUUGCGCUCUAAACUACUGUGCUUGAGGAACCUAGAGGUGAGCAGAACUGAUGGUGGAGCGGUGAAAUGCGUUGGAUAUCAUCAGGAAUACCGGAGGCGAAGGCGGCUCACUGGGGGGUUUUCUGGACGCUGAGGAACGAA
Molecule: ribosomal RNA, 237 nt
Filed under: uncultured bacterium
Lineage: Bacteria
Description: partial 16S ribosomal RNA
Rfam family: Bacterial small subunit ribosomal RNA
Source: RNAcentral